AAGUCGUAACAAGGGUUUUCCCGUAGGUGAACCUGCGGAAGGGAUCAUUUACAAGGUUCUUAGUGACAUCUCGAAAGAGAUCCCUCCCAAGUAUCCCACCCGUGUCUAUAUACUCUUGUUGCUUUGGCGGGGCGUGGCCUCCACUGCGGGCUCUGCUCGUACGUACCCCGCCAGAGGACCAAACCUCUGAAUGUUAGUGAUGUCUGGAGUACUAUAUAAUAGUUAAAAC
Molecule: unclassified non-coding RNA, 229 nt
Filed under: plant metagenome
Description: partial contains small subunit ribosomal RNA and internal transcribed spacer 1
Source: RNAcentral